This 260-nucleotide ribosomal RNA is filed under the name Cyclophora tenuis. RNAcentral's name for it is "partial Bacterial small subunit ribosomal RNA". It matches the Rfam family "Bacterial small subunit ribosomal RNA", at positions 807 to 1071 of the family's 1533-position model. Lineage: Eukaryota; Bacillariophyta; Fragilariophyceae; Cyclophorales; Cyclophoraceae. The record is from RNAcentral.
CGAUGAUUACUCGCUGCUUGCGAUAAACUGUGAGUGGCCAAGCGAAAGCGUUAAGUAAUCCACCUGGGGAGUACGACCGCAAGGUUGAAACUCAAAGGAAUUGACGGGGGCCCGCACAAGCGGAGGAACAUGUGGUUUAAUUCGAUGAUACGCGAGGAACCUUACCUGGGCUUAAAUGUGAGUGACCGUUGCCGAAAGGUGACCUCUCUUCGGAGCACAAAACAAGGUGCUGCAUGGCUGUCGUCAGCUCGUGUCGUGAG